Molecule: long non-coding RNA, 692 nt
Organism: Biomphalaria glabrata
Lineage: Eukaryota; Metazoa; Mollusca; Gastropoda; Planorbidae
Exons: 2
Source: RefSeq, a predicted model, not a curated record
AUACUCUCGUCAUAAGUCUUACUCUCAGACGAAAGUCUCAUUCAUUAGAAUUAGAGCUAUAGUUGGUGGUUAUUUUAUUUAAGUUUUCAUUGUUUAAUUCAAAUAAGUUAUAUACACUCCUGGCUGUGAAAGCAGGUGAAUUGUCAAUCCUGACGUGUGAGGGAAAGCGGUGUAACCUCUGGAACGUGAUGUGAUGAAGUAUAGAUAGACACACCUAUAGUGUCAGAGCAAACGAACAAUGUCUGCGGUCACCUAUGACACAUCACAUUGGACAGUAUCACUUAGUGACACUUGAGGGAAAUAUGUGUUCAGAGGAACUUGAUUGUGGACACAGGAAGAGAAGUUGAAAUCACAAUCAAGACUCAAGUUGUGUUGUCUUUUAUGUUUCCCUACAUUUUGGCCCUUGCACAAUGUAAGACUAAAACAGUAGAUUAAAAAAUUGACAGGCAAUUUUUUUUAGCGGGAGGGGGAGGAGUUGUUAUUACAUGAUUAGGAAUUAGUUAUUUGUUUCGGGAAUAGGGUAAAGUUUUAAUUAGCGACAAUGACGUAAAGUUGGUUAAAAAACAAGAACGCUCUAAGCGACGCUAAAAGGAAGACGCAUUAUGUAGAGCAGUAGAAUAGAUACGGAUUUACGGACAUAGCUGACAUCGGACGAUCCCUUCUUGAUGAUUAAAUAUAUUUGUAGAACAGCA